GUUUUUGGGUGAUUCAGUUCAUUUGCAUGGCAAAGAGGGACUUUGCAAUUAAUUGCAAUUCAUCUGAUCACUCUUCAUAACAUUCUGGAGUAUAUGCAAAUUGCCAUCAUUACAAAGUCUGAGGCAGCAGACUUUGAAAAUUAAUAUUUGUGUCAUUCUCAAGUUUUGGCCACGACUGUACAUUGCACUUUCUUGCAGCUAUUCAAAUUAACUGAAAACAUUUCAGCGACUGCAAACUAAAAGCCGUAAUUGAAUGGGCAUUUGUUUUGUUUGCAGAUUAUAUUUUGUUGAUCUGAAAGAGCACUUUAAAACCAACGUGCACAAGAAAAAUGGAUUAAGCUGUUGAAGGAGGAACCUUGCACUCAGGCAGAAGCAGAAAGAGCGGCAGGUAUGGGUUCUUACAUACCCCACUAAACUGUAGAGGUGGAAGAGAAGAUGGACUGAAUGUGGACUGCCUUUCUUUGACCAUUACUUUCACCCAGGUUCCAGAACACCUUCCUUUUUGUGGCUCUGAGCUAUGGACAUUGCUUUGCAUUACAUAUGUAUAGAUGUUUUUAUACAUUCACAUGUAAAUAUGUCACAUGUGGAGCAAACAAUUAAAAGGAAAUGUGGUGAUUGGCUGGAUGCCAGUUUCUAUUUUAGCCAGGUUUAUAAUUUUGUUAGAAUCGGAUUUCAAUGCCUGUGCAACCCAACAACAUUGAAUACAGUGCUGAAUUUACAAUUAAAUAUAUAGGAUAGAUAGAGCUACUCAUUACUUGAGAUUGUAACUUGAGCUGAAAUGCAAUUGUAAAGCACAGUUUGUGCUCCUACAAUUCACUGUUAAUCUUAAAUGCAAUUAAAGUACCAGUCAGCUAGACUUGUAGCUAGAGAACUGUUAGACCUAAAAUGUUCAUCUGAACUUAAUGAAUCUGUUGAGUGAAACUGAGGAAAUUAGACGACCCCCAUCAACAGGAGUCAUGGGUUUUUCUUUGAAAUAUGAAAUAUUUCAUGAAAUAUUUUUGUUAAAGCUGCAAUAUGUAACUUUUUGGGCGAUCUGACCAAAUUCGCAUAGAAAUGUGAGUUAUAGAUCUGUUAUUCUCAUUGAAAGGAAGUCUUAAGAAGUAUGUGCACUAUUUCUAUGUUUCCCGUUAACUUUAGUUUUUGCGUCCUUUACUUUCGGUUUUGUACACCGGCUGACAAUAUUUUGGGUUGUUAGAAAGAUAUUUCCCAGCGUUUUAUGUGGUGAUUGUGGUGAUGGUACAAUUCUCUACACAAGCGAUUGCUUGUUUUGUCACAAACUGAAAUUAGCAAACCUAUUAUCGUUUUAGCAACUAGGAAAAGGCGGAGUUCUAAUUGUUAUAAGGUCGAAGUAAGCAUACACCGAGUAAAACACCUAGUUUUCUGAGCAACCUUUCUAGUUAUUAGGACAUGUAAACACCUUAAUCAGCAUUCCAGUGGUGUAUUUCAUCUGCCCAUGUGCUAUCACCAGCCAAACAAGCCUCCCUCUUUAGCGUGAGUUCGGAAAUAAAUUAAUGCACGCGUCUUACAAGAAUAGUAGUUUUUGCAUACAAAUGAUCAGUUGAAGUCGGAAGUUUACAUACACCUUAGCCAAAUACAUUUAAACUCAGUUUUUCACAAUUCCUGAUAUUUAAUCCUUGUACAAAUUCCCUGUCUUAGGUCAGUUAGGAAUGUGAAAUGUCAGAAUAAUAGUAGAGAGAAUGAUUUAUUUCAGCUUUUAUUUCUUUCAUCACAUUCCCAGUGGGUCAGAAGUUUACAUACACUCAAUUAGUAUUUGGUAGCAUUGCCUUUAAAUUGUUUAACUUGGGUCAAACGUUUCGGGUAGCCUUCCACAAGCUUCCCGCAAUAAAUUGGGCGAAUUUCGCAGUCCUUUGGGGAGUGGAUUGGAUCUGGAAAAUGAGAAAGCAAUGUUGAUACGCUUGCAGUGACAGGGAAGGUGCGGACUUCUCGCUACAUAAUACAUAUUUAUACAGAGUACAUUUUAAAUGUAAUUUGUGUCUAUAUUUCCCAUAAAUAUUUGGUGCCAA
Salmo salar (Atlantic salmon) is the source of this 2024-nucleotide long non-coding RNA. RefSeq lists it as uncharacterized. The record is from RefSeq and is a predicted model, not a curated record. Lineage: Eukaryota; Metazoa; Chordata; Actinopteri; Salmoniformes; Salmonidae.